GGGACUCAGCUAGUAUUCACACGACUGCAGGAUUGCCACAACCCAUUGCCUAUGCUCCUUUGCCCUACCAGUGCUUCUAAAAACUUUAAGAAGGAACACCAUAAGAUUCAUCACUGGAAACAGACUUAAGUCGCUGAAGCGUAGUCCAUAAUAAUUAUCACAUCCUUCAAGAUGAAAUCACUUUUGACUCUUGGGCCAAGACUGCAACCAGAUUUCAGGACCCAGCGUUUCCUUUCCCUCAGAAAAGAUAGAGCUGUCAGCACCUCUGGCAGGCCCUGCAUCUACACCCAGCUGACCUUGUGGCACAGUGCAGUGGAUUUACAACACACAGAGGGUGGGGAAGGAGCCAGAAUCACCGUGAAGUAGUGCUGUGUCAAAUGCAGUGGGAGAAAGGCUGCUCAGUCAGGAUCUCAGGAAGACUUUCAUCCUCGCUAGACCGGAGCUGAAGUUUAUAUGACAAGCAGAUGUGAAAUCUCCUCUGGAAAUUCAGCUGCCAUGGACUCAAGAACAAACUGAAAAAAGGAAAAUAAAGCCCACUAAUGUGAGGUAAAUUUUACAAGGUAAAUUAAUUACAAGGUGAUCUAUUCAGUGACUGGGAGGCAAGAUUUGCUUAUGCUGACUGUUCCUGCUUUGAAUCAAACUGGAUCAAUCAGUUCAAACCAAAAAUUAACUGUGGUUGCAACACUGAUGCUGUAAUUGAGUGGUUCACACCUUAUUUAUCAUAACAAUGGAUAAUAAACAUAGAAAUCAAGAAAUCCAUGAUUAAGUUCUGAUGGCAAAAAGACAGAGUCACAUUACUCUUAUACUAAAAGUGGAUUAAACCAAUGCCAGAUUUGCUCAGUGAAUAAAUAGGAAGAAGAAUUUGAAUAAAAGUGGGAAAUGUGCAACAUCAAUAAAAAGUCUGACUAAAGGUCAGUGAUUAAUGUGAAA
Molecule: non-coding RNA, 930 nt
Organism: Microcebus murinus (gray mouse lemur)
Lineage: Eukaryota; Metazoa; Chordata; Mammalia; Primates; Cheirogaleidae
Source: RefSeq, a predicted model, not a curated record